Molecule: non-coding RNA, 134 nt
Filed under: Desulfosporosinus lacus
Lineage: Bacteria; Bacillati; Bacillota; Clostridia; Eubacteriales; Desulfitobacteriaceae
Description: MoCo sequence
Rfam family: Molybdenum/Tungsten riboswitch aptamer (Moco RNA motif)
Source: RNAcentral
AGAAUAGUAAAUCUCCGAGCCAGAAUGACCUAAAGAGCAAAUCCAUGGUCACUGGACAGGGCCUUAGGUCCUCAGGGUGUUCCCGGAAACGGGUAGGCCUUCCAUUUUGAAAAGGAGUAGCAAGUAUUAGACUG